This 1097-nucleotide ribosomal RNA is filed under the name Escherichia coli. RNAcentral's name for it is "partial 23S ribosomal RNA". It matches the Rfam family "Bacterial large subunit ribosomal RNA", at positions 98 to 1238 of the family's 2925-position model. The record is from RNAcentral. Lineage: Bacteria; Pseudomonadati; Pseudomonadota; Gammaproteobacteria; Enterobacterales; Enterobacteriaceae.
UUAUAACCGGCGAUUUCCGAAUGGGGAAACCCAGUGUGUUUCGACACACUAUCAUUAACUGAAUCCAUAGGUUAAUGAGGCGAACCGGGGGAACUGAAACAUCUAAGUACCCCGAGGAAAAGAAAUCAACCGAGAUUCCCCCAGUAGCGGCGAGCGAACGGGGAGGAGCCCAGAGCCUGAAUCAGUGUGUGUGUUAGUGGAAGCGUCUGGAAAGGCGCGCGAUACAGGGUGACAGCCCCGUACACAAAAAUGCACAUAUUGUGAGCUCGAUGAGUAGGGCGGGACACGUGGUAUCCUGUCUGAAUAUGGGGGGACCAUCCUCCAAGGCUAAAUACUCCUGACUGACCGAUAGUGAACCAGUACCGUGAGGGAAAGGCGAAAAGAACCCCGGCGAGGGGAGUGAAAAAGAACCUGAAACCGUGUACGUACAAGCAGUGGGAGCCUCUUAAUGGGGUGACUGCGUACCUUUUGUAUAAUGGGUCAGCGACUUAUAUUCUGUAGCAAGGUUAACCGAAUAGGGGAGCCGAAGGGAAACCGAGUCUUAACUGGGCGUUAAGUUGCAGGGUAUAGACCCGAAACCCGGUGAUCUAGCCAUGGGCAGGUUGAAGGUUGGGUAACACUAACUGGAGGACCGAACCGACUAAUGUUGAAAAAUUAGCGGAUGACUUGUGGCUGGGGGUGAAAGGCCAAUCAAACCGGGAGAUAGCUGGUUCUCCCCGAAAGCUAUUUAGGUAGCGCCUCGUGAAUUCAUCUCCGGGGGUAGAGCACUGUUUCGGCAAGGGGGUCAUCCCGACUUACCAACCCGAUGCAAACUGCGAAUACCGGAGAAUGUUAUCACGGGAGACACACGGCGGGUGCUAACGUCCGUCGUGAAGAGGGAAACAACCCAGACCGCCAGCUAAGGUCCCAAAGUCAUGGUUAAGUGGGAAACGAUGUGGGAAGGCCCAGACAGCCAGGAUGUUGGCUUAGAAGCAGCCAUCAUUUAAAGAAAGCGUAAUAGCUCACUGGUCGAGUCGGCCUGCGCGGAAGAUGUAACGGGGCUAAACCAUGCACCGAAGCUGCGGCAGCGACACUAUGUGUUGUUGGGUAGGGGAGCG